This 467-nucleotide ribosomal RNA is filed under the name uncultured bacterium. RNAcentral's name for it is "partial 16S ribosomal RNA". It matches the Rfam family "Bacterial small subunit ribosomal RNA", at positions 28 to 507 of the family's 1533-position model. The record is from RNAcentral.
GACGAACGCUGGCGGCGUGCUUAACACAUGCAAGUCGAACGGAAAGGCCCUGCUUUUGUGGGGUGCUCGAGUGGCGAACGGGUGAGUAACACGUGAGUAACCUGCCCUUGACUUUGGGAUAACUUCAGGAAACUGGGGCUAAUACCGGAUAGGAGCUCCUGCUGCAUGGUGGGGGUUGGAAAGUUUCGGCGGUUGGGGAUGGACUCGCGGCUUAUCAGCUUGUUGGUGGGGUAGUGGCUUACCAAGGCUUUGACGGGUAGCCGGCCUGAGAGGGUGACCGGCCACAUUGGGCCUGAGAUACGGCCCAGACUCCUACGGGAGGCAGCAGUGGGGAAUAUUGCACAAUGGGCGGAAGCCUGAUGCAGCAACGCCGCGUGCGGAUGACGGCCUUCGGGUUGUAAACCGCUUUCGCCUGUGACGAAGCGUGAGUGACGGUAAUGGGUAAAGAAGCACCGGCUAACUACGUG